AGCAGCGUGGCUCAGUGGAAAAGAGCCUGGGCUUGGGUGUCAGAGGUCAUGGGUUCGAAUCCCGGCUCUGCCA
Molecule: transfer RNA, 73 nt
Filed under: Ornithorhynchus anatinus (platypus)
Lineage: Eukaryota; Metazoa; Chordata; Mammalia; Monotremata; Ornithorhynchidae
Rfam family: tRNA
About the family: Transfer RNA (tRNA) molecules are approximately 80 nucleotides in length. Their secondary structure includes four short double-helical elements and three loops (D, anti-codon, and T loops).
Source: Rfam by way of RNAcentral